RNAcentral lists this long non-coding RNA (213 nucleotides) under Elaeis guineensis (African oil palm). Its description in RNAcentral is "long non-coding RNA (EGUI_LNC029832)". Lineage: Eukaryota; Viridiplantae; Streptophyta; Magnoliopsida; Arecales; Arecaceae. The record is from RNAcentral.
UCCCGAUAGAUAAAGAUCAUUCUCACCAUUGCAAAAACUGAUGGAAAAUCCCAAAUAUCCCAAGCAGUCAAAGACUUGUCAUUGGUGUGUGAUCCAAUAAUCUCCUUAGCUUGAGUUCAAGCUCUUUCCAAAAUAAAUUUUAGCGGGUGCUUGCAAUCUUCGAAGACCUAGAUAUUUCUUAUCAACCAAAUGUGACAAACAAUAUACGCCCCC